This 253-nucleotide ribosomal RNA is filed under the name uncultured bacterium. RNAcentral's name for it is "partial 16S ribosomal RNA". It matches the Rfam family "Bacterial small subunit ribosomal RNA", at positions 524 to 776 of the family's 1533-position model. The record is from RNAcentral.
CACGUAGGGCGCGAGCGUUGUCCGGAAUUAUUGGGCGUAAAGAGCUCGUAGGCGGCCUGUUGCGUCCGCUGUGAAAGCCCGGGGCUUAACCCCGGGUCGGCAGUGGAUACGGGCAGGCUAGAGGUAGGUAGGGGAGAAUGGAAUUCCCGGUGUAGCGGUGAAAUGCGCAGAUAUCGGGAGGAACACCGGUGGCGAAGGCGGGUCUCUGGACAGUUCCUGACGCUGAGGCACGAAGGUCAGGGGAGCAAACGGG